Molecule: transfer RNA, 65 nt
Filed under: Bugula neritina
Lineage: Eukaryota; Metazoa; Bryozoa; Gymnolaemata; Cheilostomatida; Bugulidae
Description: tRNA-Gly
Source: RNAcentral
ACCUUAUUAAUAUAAAACAUUAUAUUUACCUUCCAAGUAAAAAAUCUAACAUUUUAGAUAAGGUA